GUCUACGGCCAUGCCACUCUGAACGUGCCCAAUCUUGUCUGAUCUCGGAAUCUAAGCAGGUUGGGCCUGGUGAGAUGAGAGACCACCUUGGAAUACCAGGUGCUGUAGGCG
RNAcentral lists this ribosomal RNA (111 nucleotides) under Pteropus alecto (black flying fox). Lineage: Eukaryota; Metazoa; Chordata; Mammalia; Chiroptera; Pteropodidae. The record is from RNAcentral.